This 1198-nucleotide ribosomal RNA is filed under the name Felis catus (domestic cat). RNAcentral describes it as "Bacterial small subunit ribosomal RNA". It matches the Rfam family "Bacterial small subunit ribosomal RNA". The record is from Rfam by way of RNAcentral. Lineage: Eukaryota; Metazoa; Chordata; Mammalia; Carnivora; Felidae.
AAACACCAAGGUUUGGCCCUAGCCUUUCCAUUAGUUAAAGAGGAUUACACGUGGAAGCCUCCGGAAGGGUGAAAAACGCCUCUCAAUCAUCAUGAUCUAAAGGAGUGGGUGUGAAGCACAAACAAUAACAAUGUAGCUCGUGACACCUUGCUUAGCCACACGCCCACGGGAUACAGCGGGAAUAAAAAUUAAGCCGUGAAUGGAAGUUCGACUAAGCCAUAUUAAAUUAGGGUUGGUACAUUUCAUGCCAGCCACCCGCGCGGUCACACGAUUCACCGAACUAAUAGACCCGCGGCGUAAAGCGUGUCAUAGAGGAACCCCACGUUACUGUUAAACUUUUACUAGGCUGGCAAAAGCUACAAGUAACAUACAACUAUAGCACGAAAGUAACUUUAACACCUCCGACCGCAGGAUAGCUAAAACCCAAGCUGGGAUUGGAUACCCCGCUAUCCUCAGCCCUAAACUUAGCUAAUUAAACAAAUCUAUCCGCCAGAGAACUAUAGCAACAGGUUAAAACUCAAAGGACUUGGCGGUGCUUUAUAUGCCUAGAGGAGCCCGUUCUGUAAUCGACAAGCCCCGAUAUACCUCGCCACCCCUUGCAAAUCCAGUCUAUACACCGCCACCUUCAGCAAACCCUAAAAAGGAAGAAAAAUGAGCACAGGUAUCUUAACAUUAAAAAGUCAGGUCAAGGGGCGCCUGGGUGGCUCAGUCGGUUGAGCGUCCGACUUCGGCUCGAGGUCCGCGAGUUUGAGCCCCAUGUCGGGCUCUGUGCUGACAGCUCGGAGCCUGGAGCCUGCUUCGGAUUCUGUGUCUCCCUCUCUCUCUGCCCCUCCCCCGCUCAUGCUCUCUCUCUCUCUCUCUCUCUCUCUCUCUCUCUGUCAAAAAUAAAUAAACAUUAAAAAAUUUUUUUAAAAAGUUAGGUCAAGGCGUAACCUGUGAGGUGGGAAGUAAUGGGGUACGUUUUCCAUGCCAGAACACUUUCCAUGAAGUCCUUAUGAAAUUAAGAACCAAAGGAGGAUUUAGUAAUAAAUUGAGACUAGAGAGCUCAAUUGAAUCGGGCCAUGAAGCACGCACACACCACCUGUCACCCUCCUCGAGUGACAAAACCCAAAGACGAUCUAUUCGAACCGUAAAAAACACAAGAGGCAAGUCGUAACAAGGUAAGCAUACUGGAAAGUGGGCUUGGAUAAAACGAGAC